Molecule: ribosomal RNA, 466 nt
Filed under: uncultured bacterium
Lineage: Bacteria
Description: partial 16S ribosomal RNA
Rfam family: Bacterial small subunit ribosomal RNA
Source: RNAcentral
GAUGAACGCUGGCGGCGUGCUUAACACAUGCAAGUCGAACGAUGAAGCCCAGCUUGCUGGGUGGAUUAGUGGCGAACGGGUGAGUAACACGUGAGUAACCUGCCCUUAACUCUGGGAUAAGCCUGGGAAACUGGGUCUAAUACCGGAUAGGAGCGUCCACCGCAUGGUGGGUGUUGGAAAGAUUUAUCGGUUUUGGAUGGACUCGCGGCCUAUCAGCUUGUUGGUGAGGUAAUGGCUCACCAAGGCGACGACGGGUAGCCGGCCUGAGAGGGUGACCGGCCACACUGGGACUGAGACACGGCCCAGACUCCUACGGGCGGCAGCAGUGGGGAAUAUUGCACAAUGGGCGCAAGCCUGAUGCAGCGACGCCGCGUGAGGGAUGACGGCCUUCGGGUUGUAAACCUCUUUCAGUAGGGAAGAAGCGAAAGUGACGGUACCUGCAGAAGAAGCACCGGCUAACUACGUG